UGGAUCAUUGAUGACCAUAAAAGAUGUAGGAGUCGUCUGAGACAUGCAUGAUGACCAUAAUAUUGCCAGUCUGAGAUCCAC
Molecule: non-coding RNA, 81 nt
Organism: Rattus norvegicus (Norway rat)
Lineage: Eukaryota; Metazoa; Chordata; Mammalia; Rodentia; Muridae
Source: Rfam